RNAcentral lists this long non-coding RNA (496 nucleotides) under Calidris pugnax (ruff). RNAcentral's name for it is "lncRNA (ENSCPUG00000000394.1)". The record is from RNAcentral. Lineage: Eukaryota; Metazoa; Chordata; Aves; Charadriiformes; Scolopacidae.
AAUUCUGCCAAACCAACUUUGGGUCGAGUGCGUCAAACCAACGAAACCGGAGGAGGAAGAGGAGGGGACACGGGGCCACCAAAGGCCACCAGGGGCCACCAGGGGCCACCAGGGGCCACCAAAGGCCAUCAGGGGCCACCAAGGGGCCACCAAGGGCCACCACGGGGCACCAGGGGCCACCAAGGGGCCACCAGGGGCCACCAAAGGUCACCACGUGGCCACCAAAGGCCACCAGGGGCCACCACAGGGACAGCCAAGGGAUGGUCACCAUCAGGACGGGCAGGGCCACCACCAAGAUGGUCAGGGCCACCACAAAUAGGGUCAGGAGGUGGCCAGGGCCACCAAGGCCACCAUGGGAAGGACCAGGGCCACCAUCAGGAUGAGCAGGGCCACCAUCAGGAAUGGUCAGGGCCACCAAGGCCACCACCAGGAUGAGCAGGGCCACCACCAGAAUGGGCAGGGCCACCAAGGGCACCACUAGGAUGGGAAGGGCCAC